UCGCUCUCAGGGUUGCUCCUGGAGAGUUUCAAGUAUUCUACCGGUCUCGACGAUGGGAGGGAGAGUCAAGCAGAGGUAUAUCCAUUCCAUUCCUAGUUUAGCCAGUGGCUGGUGAGUGGAAGGCAAUCUGCUACAAGU
This is a small nucleolar RNA of Ornithorhynchus anatinus (platypus), 138 nucleotides long. NCBI's taxonomy places the organism in Eukaryota, Metazoa, Chordata, Mammalia, Monotremata, Ornithorhynchidae. The record is from RefSeq and is a predicted model, not a curated record.